UGUAGGUCAGUGGUAGAGUACCCGAUUUGUAUGCAGAUGGUCCCAGGUUCAAUCCUUGGCAUCUCAA
Molecule: non-coding RNA, 67 nt
Organism: Podarcis lilfordi (Lilford's wall lizard)
Lineage: Eukaryota; Metazoa; Chordata; Lepidosauria; Squamata; Lacertidae
Source: the annotation of a GenBank genome assembly